GGCUCUUUGUAGAUAAAUAAAAUAAAGAGUCCGGCCUGCUCAAUGAUGAUUAAUCAUUAAAUAGCUGCGGAAUCCUAACCGUGUGAAAGUAGCAUAAUCAUUUGCCUCUUAAUUGGUGGCUGGAAUGAAUGGUACGAUGAAAAUAGAGCUGUCUCUAGUAUGUUUUAUUGAAAUUACCUUUUAGGUGAAAAGGCCUAAAUAUAUCUAUAAGACAAGAAGACCCUAUCGAGCUUUAAGUUGGUUAUGUAAAUAACUUGAUUAGCUUUUGGUUGGGGCAACCAGGGGGUAAAAGAAAUCCCUCUUUUAUUAAUUUACUUACUAGUAAAGAUCCAGUUAUAUUGAUCAAGGGAAUAGUUACCGUAGGGAUAACAGCGUAAUUCCUUUUGUGAGUUCUUAUUAACAAAGGAGUUUGCGACCUCGAUGUUGGAUUAAGAUAUCCUGAGGGUGCAGUAGCUUUCAAGGGUUGGUUUGUUCAACCAUUAAAAUCUUACAU
RNAcentral lists this ribosomal RNA (493 nucleotides) under Patella caerulea. RNAcentral's name for it is "partial 16S ribosomal RNA". It matches the Rfam family "Bacterial large subunit ribosomal RNA", at positions 1819 to 2601 of the family's 2925-position model. The record is from RNAcentral. Lineage: Eukaryota; Metazoa; Mollusca; Gastropoda; Patellidae.